AAAGUGCGACAAGUGUCACGACUUGCAGAUUCCCGGGAGCUGACCAAUUUCUGAAUGCAAAUUGCGGACCGACUUUCUGCCCUGUCGGCCAUGUGCUGCAGAGUGUUGUUGCCUUAUGCACUACAUCUUUUCCCUCCCUGCGCCACCCCGCGCACAGGGAAAAGGAUUCGGAGUUGACACACACACACACCUCUGUGUUGUGCGUGUGGCAGCUCUCAGAAAUGCGCAAGCCCGCGAUCAAAGACGCGGAGCCUGCCUUGCCAAGCGCGAAAGCGCCUAAGAGGCAGAGCCCUGUCUUUUCGCGAACAAGAAUGCGCCAACAACGGGGCGGUGGUCUUCACCCCCCCUUUUUCUGCUGACCUCUGCAGCAUAAGAAAACCCGCUGAACUUAA
This 392-nucleotide unclassified non-coding RNA is filed under the name uncultured fungus. RNAcentral describes it as "sequence contains ITS1". The stretch from base 1 to 108 matches the Rfam family "5.8S ribosomal RNA", at positions 50 to 154 of the family's 154-position model. Lineage: Eukaryota; Fungi. The record is from RNAcentral.